UCCCCUUCUGUGCCUUCGCUUCGUUUGCGCGCAGAAGCGGAAGCUUCUGGGGACGGUGCGGGAGCAGGAGCCUGCUAUCAAGGAGAUGUGCCAAGGUAAACCUGAGCAGAUUCCGUCCUUCUCGGCCGGAGAUGUUUUUUUUUGACGUUUUGUGAUUUGGAUAAUGCAGCCCUGAAGGAGAUGGAAAGCAAGCUCAAGAACCUCCGGACGACAACAACCGGCUCCGCGGCGAGCUGUAAGAUCGAAUGCUUGUGUUGUGCGUGUUGAUUUGGGUUCGCUUUUAUUUCGCGGGGAAUGACGGCUGAGACGCUGGUUCUGCUCUUGUUGUUGUUUCUUUUAUACCAGGCUCGACAAGGACCGGCAGUUUGCGGAGACGCGGACACUUGUGGUUGACAGGGAGCGUCAGCUUUCCAAAACCCAGACACUUCUAGCUGACAGGGAGCAGCAGCUUGAGGCCCGGCCACUUCCAGUUGACAUUGAGUUUCCUUGUCUAAUUUCGAGUUAUUCUCCCUUUACCACUUGGUCAAUGCUUGGAAGUUUAGAGAAUGGACAUCGAUGGUGUGCUGGCAUUGGUCAUGCAUGUAUGGGGACUAAUAGUCUAAUACACGUCUUCUUGAAAUGGAGAGCAGUAAUGUCGCCUCAGAGCAACUUAUCUUUGUUAUAAUCUGAAUUUCAGGCAACUCAUAUAUCUUAGUAUUUGAAUAGUUUUGCAUCUAAGUAUUUGAAUGCUGUAAGCAACUACUUCUCCCGGGGGGAGGGGGGUGGUGAUCUGGUGGUGGCAACCCGGGAUACUUCGCUUUUUUUUAGAAAAGGAGGAUGACCCCCGGUCUCUGCAUCUGGAAGAUGCAUGCGGUCACUUUAUUGAUUAUUCUCGAAGACCUUACAAAGUAUUACAACAAUAUGGCUGAAUCCGCCAUCUUGGCAACAUAUGUCAUUACUCCUAUCCAUAUGAUGAAGGGGUACUAGUUGUGCCAAAUACCCAGACCACUCACCUAAGCCUAUCAUCAACAGCUAGAAGCCCCAGCCGACCACAUGCCGGGUCUGGGGCAUAAACUGGUCUGACGCACUCACAUGCGUCGUCACCGCCAUCUCCCACAGGUCCGUCUUCAGAGCAGAUACUAAGGCUUCUACCUUGUCAGGCCACUCUGCCAUCGACGUCACCAUGACGCCAGACAACUACCUCCUCCUGCGCGAGUCCAUCACCGCGCAUCGGGUGCCGAGUCUCCACUGCGCCACGCCGCCGAAAUCCGCCGUCAUCAAUGUGUAGGAUGAAGCACCGCUCCACCAAAAAAGCCGCCCAUUGGUCCCUCGAUUCCGUGUACGCCUCCAAGAAUGACGCCCCCAAGGAGGAAACGACACCAACGCGCCGCCGUCAUCCGAUCUACUAAUCUAGGAUUUCCCCCGAAGGUAGCGGAUAGAGGUCUGGAGCUUCUCCACGGUGAUCUUGGCAUCAAGCCGAGAACGAGGUUUUCACCCGGAUCCGCUCGAAGAACCUCCAUCAAGCAUCGUGUGCACGGGUCGCCGCCGAUCUGAGCCGCCGCACAUCGAGCAGGCCGCACCGGCCAGAUCAAAUCUGUCCGGAGGGCAAACCACGCAUUGCGCCGACCCAACCACCAGGCCCUCCAUGCCGUCACCGCCGAUCCGAGGUCAGAUGGUCCGUCGCCGCAGACCCGGCCGCCGCCGCCGAACGCAGACAAGGCCGCUGCCCGAAGCAGGGCCGGCCGCCGCACCCCCACCAUCUCCGCCCUAGGUCGAGGCGGCCGCCGUGCCGCCGCCGGUCAAGGCAGGCCCGCCACGCCACCAAGGCCAGAUCGGCCGUGCCACCACACGCCGCGGGGCUCCGCACCACCCCCAUGGCGCAGGAGAGAGGGAAGGCCCCCGCCACCGCCGUCAGCCCCCGGGCUAUAGGCCGGCGGCGGCAGAGGGAGGGAUGGAAGGAAGUGGAGCCCCCGGCGGCUAGGGUUGCGAUCCCGCCCGAGUCGCCUGAGCGGGGGCGACGCGGGAGGUGGGGGGGAUGGCUUUCGACGAGUACGGCUCCAAUCUUCCUGCCUCGGACCAGCUUGCCGUCGCUUCGGUGGCGGCGCCCGUGGCCAUCCAGCCCUCCUCUCCGAUGCUAGGAGGGGGUGGAUUCGGGAUGUGUGCUCAAUGAAGAUUCUGGUCCCACUCCGGCGUCGGGGCGUCGUGUGUUGAGCGGCUCAGGCAAGCAGCCCAAGAAGACAGCGGGGCGGAAGCCUGGGUCCAAGACGGUGGCGCCGGUGGCUCCUGGGCCUGUGGAGGCGAUGCGUGGCGAGCUCGGGGCGGCUCUGGUGGCGUCCGGCCCUUCCGUCAAGGCCAAGCGAUCCAAGGCGACCCCCGUGGUGCAGCGCGCCCCCAGCGUGCGCGCCAAAGCCAAGCUGGGGGACAUAAUGUCCCUGGAGAGUGCCAAGCUGCGCGCGGCUGACAAGAACAUGGAUGUAUCAGGUAACCCAAUCCCCUCCUUUAGGAUUCUGAAUGCAUUUACAGACGAUCAUCUUGUUUCGAUCCUAAAUGAUAGUGGCGUUGCGGUUGAGUCCUCCACUGAGGAUAUUAUCUUGUUAGUUCGUGCGAGGGAAGAAGCUCAGGCUGUUGUUGCUACUGCUGCUGCUGCUCGCUGUGCUGCAGAGAAGGCAACGGCCGAGCAGGUCGCGGCACCAGUAGGGGCUGGUGCGUGCCAUGAGCCCAACGAGGGGGAUGAGUCUAGGGCAGCCUUGGACGCCCCUUCUUCCAGUCGUGUGCCGGCGCGGAAGAGAGUGGCCAAAGCCGUGAGCUCUCGUGGAGUUCGCCUUCGCAACCGUAUUAUCUAAUGUGGCACAUCUUCUGGAGUAUUCACGGAUGCGGCCAUGGGGGCCGGCGGACGCAACUUAGAGAAUAUAUGGCAAAGAACGUAUCGAUUUCGUGGCGUUGCAGGAAACAAUCAAAGCCGACUUCACGUUUAGAGAUCUCCUCGCGUACGAUCCCUUGCAUCGUUUUGGCUGGUUCUGGAUACCCUCCUCUGGCAACUCGGGUGGUCUCCUUAUGGGUUGUAAUCGUGAUGUGUGUGAUGUAAUUCUGUGGGAGUCCGGUGUUUUCUUUAUUGCAGCAACUGUUCGACACCGCGUUUCUGGGUUGACCUGGGUGAUUGUGAGCGUCUAUGGGCCGGCCGACCAUGCGAGGUUUGCUGAUUUCUUGGGUGAGAUCACGGCCCUGGUUGGGGCUAAAAGAGCGGUUAAUCUGUCGCUAGCAGUUGGCGGAGAUUUUAACUUGAUCCGCUAGGGGGCGGACAAAAACAACGGCAAUAUUGACUAGGCAAGGGUGUCCCUUUUCAAUAAUGCGAUUGCGGCCGCCGCGUUGCGUGAAAUUGCGAGGACAGGUGCUAGAUUUGCAUGGACUAACAAACAGCGGGCGCCUGCCCGUUGUGUUCUCGACCGCGUUUUCUAUACUGGAGACCGGGAGUUGCUGAGACGCGCAUAGGGUCGGACCAUAUCCCUUCAAUUUUAUCCUCUGGGGAGGACAACGCUCGGCGUAGCAGAAGAUUUUUCUUCGAAACAGCGUGGUUUGAGGCCGAGGGUUUCGCCCAGAUGGUGACGGACCGCUGGGAGCUGAUCGGGAGUGAGCUUGGCCGCCAACGCGGCCCUACGGAGUUCUGGUCCUCCGCGGCUGUGACUCUGCGAGCCUUCCUCCGGGGUUGGGAGCUAAUUAUGGCAGCGAGUCUAAAAGAGAAAGGGGGCAGCUUGUUGAGGAGAUCGCGUCCCUAGAUGUUCAGGUAGAUGCCAGACCUUUCUCCGAAGACUAAUGGGCGCAUAGAUACUGUCUGGAAAACCAAGUCUUGGCGAUCCUGAGAGCGGAAGAGGAAUAUUGGCGUCGUAGGGGCGGUGUCAAGUGGGUCACGAAAGGUGACGCUAAUACCGGAUACUUCCAUGCAUACGCCAAUGGCCGAAAGCGUAAAAGCUCUAUUCUGAGACUUCAGUCAGAAAAUGGCCUUCUAGUGACCCAAAGUGAGAUAGUGAGUCAAAUUUAUGAUUUCUUCAUCGGACUGUUGGGAACAGCCGAAGAGAAAAGACUCAGCCUCCGGGACGGUUUGUGGGAUCCAACGGAGAAAGUGUCUCAACAGGAAAACGAUGCCCUUGCAUUGUCCUUCCUGCUGCAAGAAAUAGAUAGGGCCCUUGCUGACAUGAAGAAUGACACGGCUCCAGGUCCGGAUGGUUGGCCGGUGGAGUUCUUUAAGAAGUUUUGGCCUGUCAUUAGAGACCUGUUUCAUGCGAUAGUGAAUGGCUUCGCCCUAGGCACAGUAGAUAUGUCCCGCCUCAACUACGGUGCCAUUUGCCUGAUCCCUAAGGUCAAAGGGGCGGACUCCAUUAAGUUGUUUCAUCCAAUUACCCUCAUUAAUGUGCCUUUCAAGAUCUGUGCUAAGGCCUACGCCACUAGGCUGGCUCCUGUAGCACAACAUAUUAUUCUUAAGAGCCGAACUGCUUUUCUCAAGAGUAGAAAUAUCCUUGAAGGUCCGAUAGCGCUUCUGGAGAUAGUCCAUGAGCUUAAACGAACAAGGAGGCAGGGAGUAAUCCUAAAACUGGACUUUGAAAAGGCCUAUGACGGCGUGAACUGGGAGUUUGUGCGGGAGGUCCUCCUCAAAAAGGGUUUUGAGGCAGGAUUUGUGCAUCGUAUCAUGCACUUGAUCACCGGAGGGCACACCGCGGUCAUAAUCAAGAGCGAGAUGGGGAAUUUUUUCCGCAAUAAAAAAGGGCUACGGCAGGGAGACCCCAUCUCUCCGUUAGCUUUUAACUUUGUAGCGGACGCCUUGUCGGCCAUGAUAGCCAAAGCCAGGGCGGCAGGCCACAUCAGGGGGCUGGUACCUCACCUCAUCCCUGGAGGGGUGACCCACCUUCAAUACGCCGACGACACUUUGAUGUUGUUUGAACCCGAUGAUCACAACAUUGCUUCUAUCAAGCUCUUGCUGCUAUCCUUUGAAAUACUUUCAGGGCUGAAAAUUAAUUUCCUGAAAAGCAAGGUCAUUACCAUGGGAUGGACGACCAGGAUAGCGCGCGAGUAGCCAAUCUGCUUAAUUGUAAGCUAGGGAGCUUUCCAAUUAAGUACAUGGGCCUUCCGAUAUCGCACCGGAAAUUGUCCAUCUUGGAGUGGGAGCCCCUCUAUGGGAAGGUGGCCAAUAGAGUUAGCCCGUGGCGAGGGAGAUUUAUGUCCUCUGCCGCUCGGCUAAUCCUCACAAACUCGAGUCUCUCCUCCCUCCCACUGUUUACUAUGGGGAUGUUUCUCCUAGCUGAUGGAGUGCAUGCUAGGCUCGAUACACCUCGCUCUAGGUUCUUUUGGGAAGGAACCGACAUCAAACGUAAAUACCAAAAGGGAUCCAGUGCUAGAAUAGCUUGGCGAUGCGUAGGGGCGUUGCUUUGGGCUAUUUAGACGACUCGUAAUAAAAUUACGAUAGAGAAGAAAUUUCCUAACCACCACGCUGAUGUGAUCUUCAAAUGCCAUCUAUUUUUACAGACAUGGACAACAUAGGGGAAGGAGCGCGAUGCUGAGCGCAUGAUGGAAGUCCUGGAGCGUAUCAGGAUGACUCAGAUGUUAGCCAGGCAAGACUCGACGCACGGCUGAGUUGCUUUUGGGGAGGCCCUUCACCCUUGCGGAGGUCGUUUGGGCUUGUUGGAACCUAUGCUAGAUAUGUUUAAGCCUGGGUGCUUUUGGACUAUUUGUUGUAUUGCUGUACUUGCUGACCUGUAUGGUCUUCGUUUCCUUUCGAACCUUGUAUGAAUGCUGCCGAGUGGCUUUAUUAAUCUAAAGCCGGACGCCUCUAGCGUCUUCGCUCCAAAAAAAAGCAACUACUUCUCCAGGCUGUGACCUUUCUAUAGAUCAGGCUUAAUUAUUUGAGUAGAAUUUUUAUUCUUAAAUUUGUUGGUUACCACAAUUCUUUGAUGUUUAGUUUAUUGUAGAAAGUGAACACCGAAAGCACUGAUUGUCUCAGCUGAUUCCCCUUUAUAUGAUAUAUAUUUAUGCUCGGAAUAGUGGGUUGGAAGGUUGGCAACAAUCAAGACAUAUCACAUGAUAUUAGUCAACAAAUUGAACAGUUAUUGUGAUAGUUCUCACUAUUAUAGUAAUAUAUUCUAAUUGGAUAUUGUUGUAUCAAAUUGCAACAUCAUGCAAAAAUGUAGCACUCUGAGAACAAAUAGUUGUGGUCACGCCCUAUUGCAAAAGUACACUUUUGCAGCCAAAAAAAAGAUGUAAAAAAAAUCAUAGAUGAGCAACAUGACAGAAAAUGUGCACAUGCAAAAGCAUGACCAUUUGCGAACUGUUCUCUUGAGUACGACAGAAAGUUGUGCGCAUAUAGUUUGCUACACUGGUCCUUCAUCUCUUUGUCCUUAUUUUUACAAUUUUUUCAUAAUUUUGAACAACUUUUAGCAAGUGUACAUGUUAUAGCAUAUUACAACCAUGAUUUUUCCCCGCAUAUAUUGGAAAUUCAAGGUACAUGUGUGGGAAACGUCGUACCCGGUUCAGGGCGACGGCUUCGUGUUAUAAAGACAGGGGCGCAACUCCCUGAUAGCGUACAAGCUGUUGAGAUAGAGAUUUGAGAUACAAGGGAUAAGUUACUUCGAGUACAAGAGAUAAACUAGAGAGAGAAUAUUGUUACAGAGAAUAUUUAUCUAGUCUAUCUAGCCUAUGCGGUUGGCUAACCGAACUAUCUCAAGCUGGGCCUGCCGAACCACCUUGACACCAUAGCAACGUUGUUUAACACCCUCCCUUAACCACAGCUUGGUCAAGUUGAGAUUACGCUUGAACUCUUCAAAACUUUUUGUAGGCAAUGCUUUUGUGAAGCCAUCUGCAACCUGAUCUCGUGAAUGCACAAAACGAAUAUCCAAUUGUCUCUUUGCAACUCUUUCUCUGACAAAAUGGAAAUCUAUCUCAAUGUGUUUUGUUCUGGCAUGAAAAACUGGGUUAGCAGAUAAAUAAGUAGCACCCAGAUUGUCACACCAUAGACAUGGAGUUUUGGUGUGCUUCACACCCAACUCUCUCAACAUGGACUGAACCCAGAUAAUCUCAGCGGUGCCAUUUGCUAAUGCUUUAUACUCAGCUUCAAUGCUAGAUCGUGAUACAGUAGCUUGUUUCUUUGCACACCAUGAUAUAAGAUUCGGUCCAAAGAAAACUGCAAAUCCACCAGUGGAGCGUCUGUCAUCUAUACAUCCUGCCCAAUCAGAGUCAGAAAAAGCACUGACAAGAGUUGAUGAAGAUUUGGUGAAUGUAAGACCAAGACUCAUAGUAUCUUUCACAUAUCUCACUAUGCGCUUGGCAGCAGUCCAAUGAACAGUAGUAGGUGCAUGAAGAAAUUGGCAUACUUUGUUUACUGCAAAGGAUAUAUCUGGCCUUGUUAAGGUGAGGUACUGGAGUGCUCCUACUAGACUUCUAUAUCUAGUACUAUCCUCUUGACCCAAGAGAUCUCCCUCUUCAAGUGACAAUUUUUCUGUGCUAGACAAAGGAGUUGGAGAGGCUUUACAUCCUUGUACGCCAACUCUUCUUACCAAAUCAGUAGCAUACUUUUCCUGAGAGAGAUGAAGGCCAUUUUCAGUUUUCUUUACCUCAAUCCCUAGGAAGAAUGUAGGUCUCCCAGAUCUUUAAGAGCAAACUCAGCACUUAGGUCCUUCAACAAUCCUGUCACUGCUUCAUUAGAUGAACUUGUGACAAUAAUAUCAUCAACAUAAAUAAGAACAAAAAUGGAUGUUUUGAACUUAUUGUAGAUGAAUAGAGAUGUAUCAUAUUUUGAAGGAACGAAACCAAGUGCUUGUAGUUUCUGACUGAGACGAGAGUACCACGCCCUGGGAGCCUGCUUCAGUCCAUAUAGAGCUUUGUCAAGCUUACACACAUGAAAGGGUUUAUCCUUGUUCUCAAAACCAGGAGGUUGUUUCAUGUAUACUUCCUCUUCCAGAACACCAUGAAGGACCGCAUUCUGCACAUCUAGUUGUCUGAGACUCCAUUCCCUGGAAACAGCAAUAGACAGGACAAGACGAAUAGUAGCAGCUUUAACUACUGGACUAAAGGUGUCUUCAUAGUCUAUGCCAUACCGCUGUUUGAAGCCUUUUGCAACAAGUCUGGCUUUGUAGCGAUCUAUGGUUCCAUCGGACUUUCUUUUGAUCCUAUAAACCCACUUACAAUCAAUCAAAUUUUUACCUCGCCGUGGAGACACAAGAUGCCACGUCUUAUUUUUCUGAAGUGCCAUGUAUUCCUCUUCCAUGGCCUUUUUCCAGGGUGUAUCCCCAAGAGCUUCAUCAAGCGUACUGGGUUCUCCUGUGGUACACGCUAAACCAAACUUAGUUAUUUGUUUGUAAUUGACGGGUUGGAUUACUCCCUUCUGUAGCCGUGUACGAGGUUGGACAGACGAGGCAGCAUCGUUGGCGAGCGCAGAAGAUCCAGCCUCUGGGCCAGACAAUCCCGAGGCAGAUCCCCCUGGUGCUUCCGACGCACCAACCGCGCCAGCAGUUGGGUCAGCAGGAUUUUCUGCGGCGACGGGUGAUGCUGGAGCCGUGACGGAAGGCGCAGAAGAUCCAGGCGGCGCGGAGGACACGGUCCUGACCGGAUCCGCCUCGGAUCGCACGCCUGUCGUGGGCUGGGGCGAAUCCGCGCCGGAUCGGGCGCCCAGCUGCUGGCGGCGCGUGUAGUGGCGGGGUCCGCCCGCGGGCCAGCAGGCCGGGGGCUCCUGCCGCGUGGCCUCCACGGAUUGGCGCGGGUCGGACGCCGCUUCUGGCCCAGUUGGGGCGAGCCGCGUGGCCGUCGCUGGGUUGCUGUCGCCGCGCCUGGCGGGCGACACGGGAUCUGGCGCGCUGGUGCGCUGCUGCGAUGCGGAUCCCGAAGCUGAUCUGUUGCCACGCUACUGGAGCUCCGAUCCCGAGGAGGAUCUGUUCCCCGCUGGGUGACACAUAAAAUGUGAACUGUUUGGGGUGAUCUCUUCACCGUUUUCUGUGAUUCCUUCGCCAUUUUCUGCUCCAUUGCCAUCUGCAUCAUCACAAAGCUCAAGUGCACGGUUAUGAGGAUUAGUCAUCAUAUGAUCAUUACAGUUAUUUCCCCCUUGAUCAAGACCGGUGAGACUAGAUGGUAAGAGAAGAAUUUCUUGACGAAGUAGGGCACCGGCAUUAGGAUGAAGAGUGGCAAAGGGAAACUUAGUUUCAUCAAAAACAUCCCGUGAGAUAUAGACACGUCCGGUUGAAACAUCAAGACACUUGACGCCUUUGUGUUGUGGACUAUAACCAAUGAACACACAUUGUUUGGAUCUAAAACUGAGUUUUCAAUCAUUGUAAGGGCGAAGAUUGGGCCAACAGGCGCAUCCAAACACACGGAGAGAAGUGUAGUCUGGUUUGGUGUGAAGAAGCCUUUCAGUGGGAGUUUCAUUGUUGAUAACACGACUAGGUAGCAUAUUAAUGAUGUGGACAGCUGUGAGAAAAGCCUCGUCCCAAAAUUUUAAGGGCAUGGAGGCGCCAGCAAGAAGGGCAAAGCCAACUUCGACAAUGUGUCUGUGUUUGCGUUCAGCAGACCCAUUCUGUUGAUGGGCAUGGGGACACGACACUUGGUGAGAGAUGCCAAGUUUUUGAAAGAAGGAAUUUAGUUUCUCGUAUUCGCCACCCCAAUCAGAUUGGAGGGCUAUGAUUUUGGUGUCAAAUUUCCUUUCAACUAAAGCUUGGAAAUUGAGAAAAACUUGGCAUACAUCUGAUCUUUUCUUAAGAAGAUAGAUCCAGGUAAAUUUACUAUAGUCGUCAAUGAACUCACGUAGUAUGUAUGUCUACCAACAGAGGAGGGAGCAGGUCCCCACACAUCAGAAAAAAUAAGUUGAAAAGGCUUGGUAGAAAUACUUGUAGAAAUAGGAUAAGGCAACUGAUGACUUUUAGCUCUCUGGCAGGAAUCACAAAUUGUUUCAACAUCACGCUCUCCAAUAUAUGGGAGCUUAUUUUUCCUAAGCAAACGCUCAACUAAAGAAAAAGAUGCAUGUCCUAAUCGAUCAUGCCACCGUGUAGAUGAGACUUUGGUGGCACUAAAAACUUGUUUAUUGAAUCUUUGAAUCUCCGGAAUCAAUGGGUAAAGCCCGCGAACACAUCUACCUCGAUAUAGCACCCUCCUCGUGGCCUGAUCCUUGAUCAAAAAGAAGAAGGGGUGAAAUUCAAGAAAGACAUGAUUAUCAAUGGCAAUUCUAUGAAUGGAAAGAAGGCUCUUGGAAGCACUAGGAACAUGCAAAAAUUUUCUGAGAUGAAUUUUUCUCUGAGGGGUUUUAAUAACAGAAUGACCAAUGUGACCAAUCUUCAUGCCUUCUCCACUGGCAGUGUGGAUAUGAUCUUGGCCGCGAUACUUCUCGCGCAUGGUCACCUUUUCCAGCUCACCGGUGAUGUGGUUCGUGGCUCCGCUGUCGACGUACCAGUUCGUGUCAACACCAUAUGAGGCUUCUGCUGCCCCGGCCACUUUUUCAUCUUGGGACGAUGCGUCAUCAUCAUCCUCAAACCGGUACCAGCAAUCUUUAGCUGAGUGACCCAGCUUGCCACAGAUUUGGCACCGGACAGCGUCCGGGCGCGAUCUGUUGCUGUUGGAGGAGCUGGUGCGCCGGCCCUUAUUGUUGUUGGAGGAGGGCCGGCCGCCGCCGCGCAUGUUGCCGCCGUUCUGGCCGCUGCUGUUGCCCCCGCCAGAUCUCUUGCCCUUCUGACGAGGAGGUCCACGGUAGCGAGAGCCGCCACCGCCGCGGCCGCGGGUGGCGAUGUUUGCCGAAGACUUGAAGCCACCUCCGGUCCCUGCCCCUUGGAACAAAGCCACCCUUUGAUCAAAGUUACUCAUCUGAGCAAACAAUUCAUCAAGGGUGACCGGGAUGGUGCGGGCGUCAAGGGCAAAGACCAGCGGCUGGUAGUCCAUGUCGAGGCUGUUGAGGAUGUAGGAGAUCAGCUCGUCCUCCUUCAAUGGCCGCUCCGCCGCGGCAAGUUCGUCGGCGAGGGAGCGCAUGUGCGCAAAGUACGUGGCCACCGAUUGUGUCCCCUUCUGCGCGUUCGUGAGAGCGGCGCGAAUGUUGUUGACGCGGGACAUCGAGGUUGACGAGAACAUCCUCGCCAGCACCAUCCACAGCUCAUGCGCGUGGGUGAUCGCGGUCACCUGUACGAGUACUUCUUUGGACAGAUUAUUCAGAAGAUAACCCAGUACCUGCUGGUCUUCCCUGAUCCAAAGUUGAUGUAGAGGAUUCGGGGUGGUCUCCUCCUUGCCAUCUUUGUCCUUGGAGACGACGACCUUGGCUGGUUCCACCAUGCUCCCGUCCACGUACCCGAAGAAGCCAGCACCGCGAAGUUGUGGCGUGAUCUGGGUAUGCCAUAGGAUGUAGUUGGUGCGCGUGAGACGCUCGGUGACUUGGCCGGAGAGGGUAGGGUUGGAGGAGCUGGAGGAGGCCAUGGUAGGAGGUUUUCGGUGGAGGAGAAAAACCUAGAUGUGAUGGAAGAGUUAGGCUCUGAUUACCAUGUGGGAAACGUCGUACCCGGUUCAGGGCGACGGCUUCGUGUUAUAAAGACAGGGGCGCAACUCCCUGAUAGCGUACAAGCUGUUGAGAUAGAGAUUUGAGAUACAAGGGAUAAGUUACUUGGAGUACAAGAGAUAAACUAGAGAGAGAAUAUUGUUACAGAGAAUAUUUAUCUAGUCUAUCUAGCCUAUGCGGUUGGCUAACCGAACUAUCUCAAGCUGGGCCUGCCGAACCACCUUGACACCAUAGCAACGUUGUUUAACAACAUGUUCUAUAAGUGAGGUGCGGGUGCAGCUGGUUGUGGAAAAUUCCCAUUCGAUGUUUGUCAACUGCCAAUUGUACUGGGUUGUGAUACUGACCGCAUUUUACCAGCUUGAAUCAGUUACUCAAUUUUACAAUUAUGUCUCUGAAAAUGUAGGAUUUGAUUAAAUGAUUAUUAUAUCCUUAUAUGCAAGUGAAAAUUUCUCAACAAACCUACUUGCAUCAUGUUAUUUUCUACUUCUGUAAUGUGGUGUUUGGAGAGCGUAUGGUCUUGCAUUUAUCUGCAUGUCUCUACCACGGUCCAAAAUAUGUUUCACAUUCUGUUUAGUUCUAAUGAACAUUAAGUGCUUACCCAACAUUUUUACAUUUUCUAGUGCUUUAUUACUACGCCCUGCGUUGCAAUAUUAUUGAAGUUUUAGGUUUAUCCUAAGUCAAACUUGUUUAACUUUGACCAACUCUAUAGGAAAAAUGUGUUAGGAUCUGCAACCCCAAAUACACAUAGUAUGGAAAUAUAUUUUAUAAAGAAUCUCAUGAGACUAAUUUGGUGUUUUAGAUGUUAAUAUAUUUUUCUAUAGACGUGGUCAAACUUAAACAAGUUUGACUUAGGACAAACAUAGAACUUCAAUUAUUUUGGAACGGAGGAAGUAUAUUGCAAACACAAAACAGCCUCAACACCGUAAUGUAAUUCAUGGUUAUUUUACUAUAAAAAAAUCAUGGCUAUUUUAUACCUGGUUAAUCAGGUAUACAAGAGUAAUAACAACCUACUUGUUUCUCGAAAACAAUUGACACAUUAUGAGGCACAGCAGUCCUCUGUAAAUUCACCUAUACCUUGUAGAUUGCCAAUAAUUUUAUUUCUAUUUUCCAUUCUUUUUGGUGAUAACCAAGUUGAUUUAGCUGCAAUUUUAUUUACUCUAUUCUGCUUUGCUUAUGCAGCAAAGGAGUUUGAAACAGAAAUUUUGAGGCUUAAGCGCCUGUUGGCUGAGACCAAUGAUACAAAUAACUAUGCAGCUUUAGUGUCUCCUGAGACAAUAACUGAAGUCAUACAGAAGCAAACUCCAGUUUCACCUGCAAGAACACCGGUGUGGAACAGAACGAAUACAGUACAGUCCAGUGUGAAUGCCAUUGUCCUCCAUGGUAGCUUUCUGGAUGAAGCUAGAGAGGCAAGUUGUUGAAACAGCCCAACCACUUUGCUGGUAGUGUAGAAGUAUGCAAGGGUAAAUGAUUAAUUUGAGCUUUAUAUUGUUUGCUAAGCCUUUUUUAUGGCUUGCAUUGAUUCUGUAGCAGGACUUCUGUAGAAGAGGUGUUCGCACCUCAGGUUAGUAAUAAUGUACAAGUGGAUUGCAGUUUGUGGUUCUUCUUAUGCCUGUAAAUUGGUUUGACUUGUAAGUCUGUUGCUUUCAGGGAAUGGGACAGAUGAAAGUUCUUGUUCUUGUGUGUAUCAUAUGCUGGUUGAAUCUUUAGUUGGCAUGAAAUUUUCACUGAAGAAUGAAAUAGAAGGAUUCUCACUUUCAAUCCAUCAUGAAGCUACUGGUACAUGCAAACACCAGUUCUCGCGUUGUUUAAUUUGCUACAGCACAUUAGUAAUAGAAAUAUGACACUACAGUUAUUUAUGGUUUGCAUUUUACAUUUUGGCCUUGAUAUUUUACAUUCAUGCAUGUGAUUUUAUAUGUAACUGGGCAAGCUGGAUAUCUGUAGAGCAGUUAUCUUAUAGUGGCUGCCUCUGUAACUUGAAAAGUGUCUCUUUAAACUGCAAAAUGUGGUACCUAAAUACACAUUUUCCCCCCUGAUAAUCUGAGGCCACACCCCCGGCUCCAUUUCAAUUAAGAAAGAAACCACGUGAGUACCACAAACACCUAUAUGCCUUACAAAGUAGGCAAGCUGGGAACAGGAAAAGCUAAAAACAUCCUCAAGAACUGAAAAGGUAAACUAAAGCUUGUCCUGCUCCAGAAUAUUACAUCAAGUAUAAACUAAAUACACAUUCAGUGUCAGCUUGCCUUCUAGCAAGAAUUAUGCACUUUUCUUUUUGUAUCAUAGUCCCUCUUUGAUCUGGCCUUGCAUUUUAAACAGUUUAUACUUCUGUGGACUUUAUUAAAUGUAGGACCAUGCGCAUUGUCACGGUGACAGACAAUGGUGACGUUAGAGAAUGGACUUACCAGAACAGAUUUCUGACCUUUAGUUGUUGUUACCAGCACAUGUCGUAAUUAUGGCUGUGAAAUUUUGAUGAUCAUGGAGAUGGAGUAAAUCUAAUAUUCUUAUACUUGUUCACAUGUUGAGGGUAUGUUCCUUUCAGUUAGUGAUAGAUAUAGUAGUAUGUUGGAGUGGCAUGUUACCUUUUAUCUGUUGCAUGUGACCUCUCUUUCUAUCACCGACAUGUGCUUAUAUUCUGGCGUUAAAGAUGUUGAUCCGACAUGUGCCUUUGUUUGUCAACAGGGAAGAACCCACCAUAUGAUUUUGCAUCAGUUAAUGUUUCAUUUUGCGCUGUUUAUAUCAUACCAAUAGAAUUGUUUGUCAAAGGUGCUAAUGCAACCUUAACUGAGAUCUUCAAGCUAUUGUAGGUUAUAAUUUCACCCUUACGUGGUUAGAGCAACCUGAUGGCGGUGAAUGGGCCUACAAAUACUCUUCGCUAGGCACCCUGGAGAAAAUCGCUUUAAAGUGGAUGAGAGUGCUGAACAUAAGGUUUAGCAAGGCAAUGUGCCCUGUAUUCUUUGAGCGGGUAUAUAGUCUCAUCAGGCGAGGUCGAUGAUAGUCCUGACUUCAUAUUUUGAGCUCUGGAUGUACAUGACUGAAAUUGAUCGACUGUUGGCAGAACUGUCCUUCAUAUGUUGUGUACAUUUGCUGGGGAGAUUGGAUGACUUGCCCCAAGUUUCCGAGCGCUUGGAAGGUUCGUCCUCGUUUUUAUUGUAUAAUUGAUCAUUUGCCACAACUUGUGCCUGCAGUCUGAUGAUUUUUCAGAAUACACCACCAAAAUUUAUGACCGAACUACCGCUUUAAUUCAGAUUCCUCUUUGCGUCUCUCGGUUCAGCCGUCAGGCCUGUCUUGCCCGUUGCUGACCACCACUGCAGCAUUGUACCCUGGAGGAGGGAAUCAAAUUGCAUAUGUGCCCGGUGAAUUUCGGCGGACAUGGAGUGUCAUCAGAAAGGCCGAUGACUAUUAUGACUGAAACUGAUCAACUUUUGGCAGCAGAAUGUGUGUACGCUUGCUUUCGUUUCGUGUUUAUGUUUUCAGCAUGCAAAAUUGCACCCCUGGUUUGAAUAGACUCUUUCUUGCUUUUUAUAUCACAACUCCACAAGCAAGGGAUACUCCAAAAAUCCAUUUCCCUUCUUGACAAACUCCACUUUUUAUACCUUGGUCCUAUCACAGAUGCUUUGCUCAAAUUUGCAGAGAGUUUUUACAUGUUUUGUUGUUGUCGUAUAUAAGGGUUGCUCUCGGUUUAAACAGUUGGCAUGAAACCAACCACGUUUUUUCAGUUUCGAACAUGCCAGACAAAAAAGAAAAACUCGAAUCAGUUACACGUCACAAGUGGAGUAUCAAACAGUUGAAAAUCUAUGGAACGCCUGAUUAUUUCAGUAAAGUAUAUGCCCAUCUCAGCGAUGGGAGAACAGCAUGACAUCAGAAACACCAGGUUUGCUAAACCCACCGAGCAAUCGAAGCUCCAACCAGCUACAUGUCCAAGUAUCGAACCAACACUCCAGAAUCUAUCCAACACCAGAUCCGAUCAAUCGACGCCAAUGUGGAGCCGCCAAUCCGAUAGAUCCCGCCUUCUUCUUCCUCUUUACGCCGGCUUGUAGAGCUUCUCCACCAUCUUCCUGAACUCUGCGCACACAAGAAGGAGAACGAAGCAUGCAGAUUCAGAAC
RNAcentral lists this long non-coding RNA (15583 nucleotides) under Triticum aestivum (bread wheat). RNAcentral's name for it is "long non-coding RNA (TAES_LNC027189)". The stretch from base 12145 to 12345 matches the Rfam family "MIR1435 microRNA precursor family". Lineage: Eukaryota; Viridiplantae; Streptophyta; Magnoliopsida; Poales; Poaceae. The record is from RNAcentral.